Molecule: ribosomal RNA, 303 nt
Filed under: uncultured bacterium
Lineage: Bacteria
Description: partial 16S ribosomal RNA
Rfam family: Bacterial small subunit ribosomal RNA
Source: RNAcentral
AGCAGUAGCCGCGGGAAUACGAAGGGUGCAAGCGUUAAUCGGAAUUACUGGGCGUAAAGCGCGCGUAGGUGGUUCAUUAAGUUGGAUGUGAAAGCCCUGGGCUCAACCUGGGAACUGCAUCCAAAACUGGUGAGCUAGAGUACGGUAGAGGGUGGUGGAAUUUCCUGUGUAGCGGUGAAAUGCGUAGAUAUAGGAAGGAACACCAGUGGCGAGGGCGACUACCUGGACUGAUACUGACACUGAGGUGCGAAAGCGUGGGGAGCAAACAGGAUUAGAUACCCCAGUAGUCCCUGUCUCUUAUAC